UUAAGGUAACAGACAUAAACUUAGAGAUACGCAUCAGCUUCAAAAGGAGUGAGACUAGGUGCGUCAAAGCCAACAAGUCGACAAGGGACAUUAAUUGAGUAGUAGUUGCUCAUUCUUCCAAUGCACAUAGGGACCUCAGUAGGGUUCCAUCAGGGCGCAGGUCACUUAAAAUGGUCGAAUGUUUGUAAGGGUCACAGAUCCUUUUAAAUGAGACAAAAGUUACAGGCUGUGAAACUACAUUUUUCCUCAAGCACAAAUUAAUAUACUUGUUGCUAUGUUCGGAUUUU
RNAcentral lists this long non-coding RNA (287 nucleotides) under Mytilus galloprovincialis (Mediterranean mussel). Lineage: Eukaryota; Metazoa; Mollusca; Bivalvia; Mytilida; Mytilidae. The record is from RNAcentral.